Molecule: transfer RNA, 73 nt
Filed under: Stegodyphus mimosarum
Lineage: Eukaryota; Metazoa; Arthropoda; Arachnida; Araneae; Eresidae
Rfam family: tRNA
About the family: Transfer RNA (tRNA) molecules are approximately 80 nucleotides in length. Their secondary structure includes four short double-helical elements and three loops (D, anti-codon, and T loops).
Source: Rfam by way of RNAcentral
GCCUUCGGGGUGUAGUGGUCAGCACACUCGACGCGUAUUCGAGAGAUCCGUGGUUCGAGUCCCGGCGAGGGCA